AUGAAGAAACAAAUACAGCAGUUUGUACAGUCUUGUCUAGUCUGUCAGCAAGCAAAACCAGAGAGAGUGGCAUAUCCAGGACUGCUAUCUCCCUUACAUGUUCCUGCCAAGGCUUGGGAAACUGUCACUAUGGAUUUCAUCUCAGGCCUGCCCUCUUCUGAUCAAUAUGAUUGCAUCAUGGUGGUUAUUGACAAGUUUACCAAAUAUGGGCACUUUAUUCCUGUCAAGCAUCCAUACACUGCCCAAAAGAUUUCUGAAUUGUUUUUAGACAACAUCUACAAACUUCAUGGCAUGCCUCGUUAUAUUGUGUCAGAUAGGGACCCUGUGUUCACUAGCAGGUUUUGGCAGGCCUUGGUGAGGAGGACAGGAGUUGUACUUAACAUGAGCACAACCUAUCAUCCAGAGACAGAUGGCCAAACAGAGCGUGUCAAUCAGCAAGUGGAGUGCUUCCUGAGAUGUUUUAUCAGCGCUCAUCCAAAGAAGUGGGCAAGGUGGAUUUCUCUUUGUGAAUUCUGGUACAGUACAAAUUGGCAUUCAGCACUCAAUAAAUCUCCCUUUGAGGUUCUUUAUGGCCAUAGUCCUAGACACUUUGGUAUUUCAGCUCCGGAUGCAGUCGAUCCUGUUGAUCUGCAGCAAUGGUUGGAUGCCAGGGAAGUGGUUCAACAGUCAGUGCGCCAGCAUCUGUUGCGUGUUCAACAGAAAUGA
This 705-nucleotide ribosomal RNA is filed under the name Triticum aestivum (bread wheat). RNAcentral describes it as "partial small subunit ribosomal RNA". The record is from RNAcentral. Lineage: Eukaryota; Viridiplantae; Streptophyta; Magnoliopsida; Poales; Poaceae.